CCUGUACAUUAAUUUACAAUAUACUAAGAUAUAUUAAAUAUAUACAUUUUUAAUGACAUUAGAAAGCGACUAGGGGUUAACCCACCAGGAAAGCCCUACCAGCAUGGUGGAACUCUGACUGUGGGGACUUACAACAAAGCUGUCACUGGUAUGCAGCAGUCUCUAUGGCGGAUACUUGUACAGAACAUGUUGUGUGGGGGUCACAAAAUAGUAGACAUCAGACCAGUAGGGGAUUUCAAAGUGGACAACAUAGGAAGAGACCAUAGCAGGAACAAGGUGGGCAAGUGGAUCUCUUCAGUAUACAGUACACAAGACAAGACAAGAAGUAGAUCACAGCAUGGAAUAAGGUUGGUUUAACACUGCUGCCAUUGUUUCUGCUGCAACCAAAGCCAUGAAUACAAUGUAAAAUGGGCCUCAUCAAUUCAUAUACUUUUUCUGAUCUCAAGGAUAAAACCAUCAGCGAACUAAGGUUCAUUAUAUUCAGUUGUAAUGUUAAAACUACUUUAUCUAAAUCUUGUUUUAAGUUAUACAAAAUGU
Long non-coding RNA from Hyla sarda, 537 nucleotides. RefSeq lists it as uncharacterized. The record is from RefSeq and is a predicted model, not a curated record. Lineage: Eukaryota; Metazoa; Chordata; Amphibia; Anura; Hylidae. The transcript is spliced from 4 exons.